Molecule: ribosomal RNA, 1372 nt
Filed under: uncultured bacterium
Lineage: Bacteria
Description: bacterial SSU rRNA
Rfam family: Bacterial small subunit ribosomal RNA
Source: RNAcentral
GAUGAACGCUGGCGGCGUGCCUAAUACAUGCAAGUCGAGCGAACGGACGAGAAGCUUGCUUCUCUGAUGUUAGCGGCGGACGGGUGAGUAACACGUGGAUAACCUACCUAUAAGACUGGGAUAACUUCGGGAAACCGGAGCUAAUACCGGAUAAUAUUUUGAACCGCAUGGUUCAAAAGUGAAAGACGGUCUUGCUGUCACUUAUAGAUGGAUCCGCGCUGCAUUAGCUAGUUGGUAAGGUAACGGCUUACCAAGGCAACGAUGCAUAGCCGACCUGAGAGGGUGAUCGGCCACACUGGAACUGAGACACGGUCCAGACUCCUACGGGAGGCAGCAGUAGGGAAUCUUCCGCAAUGGGCGAAAGCCUGACGGAGCAACGCCGCGUGAGUGAUGAAGGUCUUCGGAUCGUAAAACUCUGUUAUUAGGGAAGAACAUAUGUGUAAGUAACUGUGCACAUCUUGACGGUACCUAAUCAGAAAGCCACGGCUAACUACGUGCCAGCAGCCGCGGUAAUACGUAGGUGGCAAGCGUUAUCCGGAAUUAUUGGGCGUAAAGCGCGCGUAGGCGGCUUUUUAAGUCUGAUGUGAAAGCCCACGGCUCAACCGUGGAGGGUCAUUGGAAACUGGAAAACUUGAGUGCAGAAGAGGAAAGUGGAAUUCCAUGUGUAGCGGUGAAAUGCGCAGAGAUAUGGAGGAACACCAGUGGCGAAGGCGACUUUCUGGUCUGUAACUGACGCUGAUGUGCGAAAGCGUGGGGAUCAAACAGGAUUAGAUACCCUGGUAGUCCACGCCGUAAACGAUGAGUGCUAAGUGUUAGGGGGUUUCCGCCCCUUAGUGCUGCAGCUAACGCAUUAAGCACUCCGCCUGGGGAGUACGACCGCAAGGUUGAAACUCAAAGGAAUUGACGGGGACCCGCACAAGCGGUGGAGCAUGUGGUUUAAUUCGAAGCAACGCGAAGAACCUUACCAAAUCUUGACAUCCUUUGACAACUCUAGAGAUAGAGCUUUCCCCUUCGGGGGACAAAGUGACAGGUGGUGCAUGGUUGUCGUCAGCUCGUGUCGUGAGAUGUUGGGUUAAGUCCCGCAACGAGCGCAACCCUUAAGCUUAGUUGCCAUCAUUAAGUUGGGCACUCUAAGUUGACUGCCGGUGACAAACCGGAGGAAGGUGGGGAUGACGUCAAAUCAUCAUGCCCCUUAUGAUUUGGGCUACACACGUGCUACAAUGGACAAUACAAAGGGCAGCGAAACCGUGAGGUCAAGCAAAUCCCAUAAAGUUGUUCUCAGUUCGGAUUGUAGUCUGCAACUCGACUACAUGAAGCUGGAAUCGCUAGUAAUCGUAGAUCAGCAUGCUACGGUGAAUACGUUCCCGGGUCU